RNAcentral lists this ribosomal RNA (459 nucleotides) under uncultured bacterium. RNAcentral describes it as "partial 16S ribosomal RNA". It matches the Rfam family "Bacterial small subunit ribosomal RNA", at positions 338 to 795 of the family's 1533-position model. The record is from RNAcentral.
CCUACGGGUGGCAGCAGUGAGGAAUAUUGGUCAAUGGGCGCGAGCCUGAACCAGCCAAGUCGCGUGAGGGAAGACGGUCCUAUGGAUUGUAAACCUCUCUUGUCGGGGAGCAAAAGACGCGACGAGUGGCGUUCCGAGAGUACCCGAAGAAAAAGCAUCGGCUAACUCCGUGCCAGCAGCCGCGGUAAUACGGAGGAUGCGAGCGUUAUCCGGAUUUAUUGGGUUUAAAGGGUGCGCAGGCGGACGAUCAAGUCAGCGGUAAAAUUGAGGGGCUCAACCUCUGCGAGCCGUUGAAACUGGUUUGCUUGAGUGGGUGAGAAGUAUGCGGAAUGCGUGGUGUAGCGGUGAAAUGCAUAGAUAUCACGCAGAACUCCGAUUGCGAAGGCAGCAUACCGGCGCUCAACUGACGCUCAUGCACGAAAGUGUGGGUAUCGAACAGGAUUAGAUACCCUAGUAGUC